This 119-nucleotide ribosomal RNA is filed under the name Petromyzon marinus (sea lamprey). The record is from RNAcentral. Lineage: Eukaryota; Metazoa; Chordata; Hyperoartia; Petromyzontiformes; Petromyzontidae.
GCCUACGACCAGAUCACCCUGAAUGCGCCCGAUCUCGUCUGAUCUCGGAAGCUAAGCAUGCUCGAGCCUGGUUAGUACUUGGAUGGGAGACUGCCUGGGCAUACCAGGUGUCGUAGGCU